CGCGGUAAUUCCAGCUCCAAUAGCGUAUAUUAAAGUUGUUGCAGUUAAAAAGCUCGUAGUUGAACCUUGGGUCUGGCUGGCCGGUCCGCCUCACCGCGAGUACUGGUCCGGCUGGACCUUUCCUUCUGGGGAACCUCAUGGCCUUCACUGGCUGUGGGGGGAACCAGGACUUUUACUGUGAAAAAAUUAGAGUGUUCAAAGCAGGCCUUUGCUCGAAUACAUUAGCAUGGAAUAAUAGAAUAGGACGUGCGGUUCUAUUUUGUUGGUUUCUAGGACCGCCGUAAUGAUUAAUAGGGAUAGUCGGGGGCGUCAGUAUUCAGCUGUCAGAGGUGAAAUUCUUGGAUUUGCUGAAGACUAACUACUGCGAAAGCAUUCGCCAAGGAUGUUUUCAUUAAUCAGGGAACGAAAGUUAGGGGAUCGAAGACGAUCAGAUACCGUCGUAGUCUUAACCAUAAACUAUGCCGACUAGGGAUCGGGCGGUGUUUCUAUGAUGACCCGCUCGGCACCUUACGAGAAAUCAAAGUUUUUGGGUUCUGGGGGGAGUAUGGUCGCAAGGCUGAAACUUAAAGAAAUUGACGGAAGGGCACCACAAGGCGUGGAGCCUGCGGCUUAAUUUGACUCAACACGGGGAAACUCACCAGGUCCAGACAAAAUAAGGAUUGACAGAUUGAGAGCUCUUUCUUGAUCUUUUGGAUGGUGGUGCAUGGCCGUUCUUAGUUGGUGGAGUGAUUUGUCUGCUUAAUUGCGAUAACGAACGAGACCUCGGCCCUUAAAUAGCCCGGUCCGCAUUUGCGGGCCGCUGGCUUCUUAGGGGGACUAUCGGCUCAAGCCGAUGGAAGUGCGCGGCAAUA
Molecule: ribosomal RNA, 851 nt
Filed under: Aspergillus fumigatus
Lineage: Eukaryota; Fungi; Ascomycota; Eurotiomycetes; Eurotiales; Aspergillaceae
Description: SSU rRNA
Rfam family: Eukaryotic small subunit ribosomal RNA
Source: RNAcentral